This 253-nucleotide ribosomal RNA is filed under the name uncultured bacterium. RNAcentral describes it as "partial 16S ribosomal RNA". It matches the Rfam family "Bacterial small subunit ribosomal RNA", at positions 524 to 776 of the family's 1533-position model. The record is from RNAcentral.
UACGGAGGGGGCUAGCGUUGUUCGGAAUUACUGGGCGUAAAGCGCACGUAGGCGGCUUUGUAAGUUAGAGGUGAAAGCCCGGGGCUCAACUCCGGAAUUGCCUUUAAGACUGCAUCGCUCGAAUUGUGGAGAGGUAAGUGGAAUUCCGAGUGUAGAGGUGAAAUACGUAGAUAUCGGAAGGAACACCAAUGGCGAAGGCAACUUCCUGGACUGAUACUGACACUGAGGUGCGAAAGCGUGGGGAGCAAACAGG